CCCUUAGAUGUUCUGGGCCGCACGCGCGCUACACUGAUGCAUUCAACGCGCCUAUCCUUGACCGACAGGUCCGGGUAAUCUUUGAAUCUGCAUCGUGACGGGGAUAGAUUAUUGCAAUUAUUAAUCUUCAACGAGGAAUGCCUAGUAGGCGCAAGUCAUCAGCUUGCGUCGAUUACGUCCCUGCCCUUUGUACACACCGCCCGUCGCUCCUACCGAUUGGGUGUGCUGGUGAAAUGUUCGGAUCGGCCGUUUGUCGCGGUUUCCGCGUCAUGUGGCUGAGAAGUUCAUUAAACCCUCCCACCUAGAGGAAGGAGAAGUCGUAACA
RNAcentral lists this ribosomal RNA (325 nucleotides) under uncultured eukaryote. Its description in RNAcentral is "partial 18S ribosomal RNA". It matches the Rfam family "Eukaryotic small subunit ribosomal RNA", at positions 1470 to 1796 of the family's 1831-position model. The record is from RNAcentral.